UUCUAGUUACCUCAGUUGGUAGAGCACUCCACUGAAAAUGGAAAGGUCCCUGGUUUGAUACCAGGACCAGGCG
Non-coding RNA from Ixodes scapularis (black-legged tick), 73 nucleotides. Lineage: Eukaryota; Metazoa; Arthropoda; Arachnida; Ixodida; Ixodidae. The record is from Rfam.